UACGUAGGGGGCAAGCGUUGUCCGGAUUUACUGGGUGUAAAGGGUGCUCAGGUGGACUUUUAAGUCAGAGGUGAAAUCCCAAAGCUUAACUUUGGAGCUGCCUUUGAUACUGGAAGUCUUGAGUGUGAGAGAGGGCAAUGGAAUAUCUGGUGUAGCAGUGAAAUGCGUAGAUAUCAGAUAGAACACCAAUGGCGAAGGCAGUUGCCUGGCUCAAUACUGACGCUAAAGCACGAAAGUGUGGGGAGCAAAC
This 250-nucleotide ribosomal RNA is filed under the name uncultured bacterium. Its description in RNAcentral is "partial 16S ribosomal RNA". It matches the Rfam family "Bacterial small subunit ribosomal RNA", at positions 524 to 773 of the family's 1533-position model. The record is from RNAcentral.